UACGGAGGGUGCAAGCGUUAUCCGGAAUCACUGGGUUUAAAGGGUGCGUAGGCGGCUGUAUAAGUCAGAGGUGAAAGGCUACAGCUUAACUGUGGAAUUGCCUUUGAUACUGUAUAGCUUGAAUAAGGAUGAGGUUGGCGGAAUGUGGCAUGUAGCGGUGAAAUGCAUAGAUAUGCCAUAGAACACCAAUUGCGAAGGCAGCUAACUGGGCCUUUAUUGACGCUGAGGCACGAAAGCGUGGGGAUCAAACAGG
RNAcentral lists this ribosomal RNA (253 nucleotides) under uncultured bacterium. RNAcentral's name for it is "partial 16S ribosomal RNA". It matches the Rfam family "Bacterial small subunit ribosomal RNA", at positions 524 to 776 of the family's 1533-position model. The record is from RNAcentral.